UACGUAGGGUGCGAGCGUUAAUCGGAAUUACUGGGCGUAAAGUGUGCGCAGGCGGCAGAGCAAGUCGAGUGUGAAAGCCCCGGGCUUAACUUGGGAAUUGCGCUCGAAACUACUUUGCUGGAGUGUGGCAGAGGAAGGUGGAAUUCCACGUGUAGCGGUGAAAUGCGUAGAUAUCGGGAGGAACACCCGUAGCGAAGGCGGCCGACUGGACCACACCUGACGCUGAGGCGCGAAGGCCAGGGGAGCGAACGGG
RNAcentral lists this ribosomal RNA (253 nucleotides) under uncultured bacterium. RNAcentral describes it as "partial 16S ribosomal RNA". It matches the Rfam family "Bacterial small subunit ribosomal RNA", at positions 524 to 776 of the family's 1533-position model. The record is from RNAcentral.